CGAGGGGGCAAGUGUUGUUCGGAAUCACUGGGCGUAAAGGGAGCGUAGGCGGGCUCUUAAGUUGGAUGUUUAAAACCGGGGCCUAACCCCGGCGUGGCAUCCAAAACUGGGAGUCUUGAAUGGGACAGAGGCUAGUGGAAUUGGAGGUGUAGCGGUGGAAUGCGUAGAGAUCUCCAAGAACACCCGUUGCGAAGGCGGCUAGCUGGGUCCACAUUGACGCUGAGGCUCGAAAGCGUGGGGAGCAAACAGGAUUAGAUACCCUGGUAGUCCACGCCGUAAACGAUGAACACUAGGUUUUGACCCCGUCAACGGGUCAGAGCCGCAGCUAACGCGUUAAGUGUUCCGCCUGGGGAGUACGGUCGCAAGACUG
This 370-nucleotide ribosomal RNA is filed under the name uncultured organism. Its description in RNAcentral is "bacterial SSU rRNA". It matches the Rfam family "Bacterial small subunit ribosomal RNA", at positions 527 to 896 of the family's 1533-position model. The record is from RNAcentral.